AUUGAACGCUGGCGGCAUGCUUUACACAUGCAAGUCGAACGGCAGCGCGGGCUUCGGCCUGGCGGCGAGUGGCGAACGGGUGAGUAAUACAUCGGAACGUGCCCAGUAGUGGGGGAUAGCUCGGCGAAAGCCGGAUUAAUACCGCAUACGACCUGAGGGUGAAAGCGGGGGAUCUUCGGACCUCGCGCUAUUGGAGCGGCCGAUGGCAGAUUAGCCAGUUGGUGGGGUAAAGGCCUACCAAGGCGACGAUCUGUAGCUGGUCUGAGAGGACGACCAGCCACACUGGGACUGAGACACGGCCCAGACUCCUACGGGAGGCAGCAGUGGGGAAUUUUGGACAAUGGGCGAAAGCCUGAUCCAGCAAUGACGCGUGUGUGAUGAAGGCCUUCGGGUUGUAAAGCACUUUUGGCGGGAACGAAAAGGACUGUGCCAAUACCACGGUUCGAUGACGGUACCCGCAGAAUAAGCACCGGCUAACUACGUG
RNAcentral lists this ribosomal RNA (484 nucleotides) under uncultured bacterium. RNAcentral describes it as "partial 16S ribosomal RNA". It matches the Rfam family "Bacterial small subunit ribosomal RNA", at positions 29 to 507 of the family's 1533-position model. The record is from RNAcentral.